GACAGAAGAUGCAAGCGUUACUCGGGAUUACUGGGCGUAAAGGGUCCGCAGGUGACUGACCACGUCUGGGGUUAAACCACGUCGCUCAACGGCGUGCAUGUCCUGGAAACGAGUCGGAUAGAGCCAUUCAGAGGUAUCUGGAAUGCUGUGUGUAGGGGUAAAAUCCGUUGAUCCACAGUGGAACGCCAAAAGCGAAAGCAGGAUACUGGGAAUGUGCUGACACUCAGGGACGAAAGCGUGGGGAGCAAACAGGAUUAGAAACCCGUGUAGU
This 271-nucleotide ribosomal RNA is filed under the name uncultured bacterium. RNAcentral's name for it is "partial 16S ribosomal RNA". It matches the Rfam family "Bacterial small subunit ribosomal RNA", at positions 524 to 794 of the family's 1533-position model. The record is from RNAcentral.